ACUCCUACGGAAGGCAGCAGUGGGGAAUCUUGCGCAAUGGGCGAAAGCCUGACGCAGCGACGCCGCGUGGGUGACGAAGGCCUUCGGUUGUAAAGCCCUGUGGGGUAGAACGAACUGGCAUCGGGCUAAUAUCCCGGUGUCUUGACGGUACUGCCUUAGCAAGCAUCGGCUAACUCUGUGCCAGCAGCCGCGGUAAUG
Molecule: ribosomal RNA, 198 nt
Filed under: uncultured bacterium
Lineage: Bacteria
Description: partial 16S ribosomal RNA
Rfam family: Bacterial small subunit ribosomal RNA
Source: RNAcentral